GACGUAGGAGGCGAGCGUUGUCCGGAAUCAUUGGGCGUAAAGAGCGUGUAGGCGGUCCGGUAAGUCGGCUGUGAAAGUCCAGGGCUCAACCCUGGGAUGCCGGUCGAUACUGCCGGACUAGAGUUCGGAAGAGGCGAGUGGAAUUCCCGGUGUAGCGGUGAAAUGCGCAGAUAUCGGGAGGAACACCUAUGGCGAAGGCAGCUCGCUGGGACGUUACUGACGCUGAGACGCGAAAGCGUGGGGAGCAAACAGG
Molecule: ribosomal RNA, 253 nt
Filed under: uncultured bacterium
Lineage: Bacteria
Description: partial 16S ribosomal RNA
Rfam family: Bacterial small subunit ribosomal RNA
Source: RNAcentral